RNAcentral lists this ribosomal RNA (483 nucleotides) under uncultured bacterium. RNAcentral's name for it is "partial 16S ribosomal RNA". It matches the Rfam family "Bacterial small subunit ribosomal RNA", at positions 28 to 507 of the family's 1533-position model. The record is from RNAcentral.
GACGAACGCUGGCGGCGUGCUUAACACAUGCAAGUCGAACGCUGAAGCUCAGCUUUUGUUGGGUGGAUGAGUGGCGAACGGGUGAGUAACACGUGAGUAACCUGCCUCCUUCUUUGGGAUAACGCCCGGAAACGGGUGCUAAUACUGGAUAUUCACUGGUCUUCGCAUGGGGGUUGGUGGAAAGGGUUUUUCUGGUGGGGGAUGGGCUCGCGGCCUAUCAGCUUGUUGGUGGGGUGAUGGCCUACCAAGGCUUUGACGGGUAGCCGGCCUGAGAGGGUGACCGGUAACAUUGGGACUGAGAUACGGCCCAGACUCCUAAGGGAGGCAGAAGUGGGGAAUAUUGCACAAUGGGCGCAAGCCUGAUGCAGCGACGCGGCGUGAGGGAUGGAGGCCUUCGGGUUGUGAACCUCUUUCGCUCAUGGUCAAGCCGCAACAAUGGUUGUGGUGAGGGUAGUGGGUAAAGAAGCGCCGGCUAACUACGUG